AUUGAACGCUGGCGGCAGGCCUAACACAUGCAAGUCGAGCGGUAACAGGAGAAAGCUUGCUUUCUUGCUGACGAGCGGCGGACGGGUGAGUAAUGUAUGGGGAUCUGCCCGAUAGAGGGGGAUAACUACUGGAAACGGUGGCUAAUACCGCAUAAUGUCUACGGACCAAAGCAGGGGCUCUUCGGACCUUGCACUAUCGGAUGAACCCAUAUGGGAUUAGCUAGUAGGUGGGGUAAAGGCUCACCUAGGCGACGAUCUCUAGCUGGUCUGAGAGGAUGAUCAGCCACACUGGGACUGAGACACGGCCCAGACUCCUACGGGAGGCAGCAGUGGGGAAUAUUGCACAAUGGGCGCAAGCCUGAUGCAGCCAUGCCGCGUGUAUGAAGAAGGCCUUAGGGUUGUAAAGUACUUUCAGCGGGGAGGAAGGUGAUAAGGUUAAUACCCUUGUCAAUUGA
RNAcentral lists this ribosomal RNA (455 nucleotides) under Proteus mirabilis. Its description in RNAcentral is "bacterial SSU rRNA". It matches the Rfam family "Bacterial small subunit ribosomal RNA", at positions 30 to 472 of the family's 1533-position model. Lineage: Bacteria; Pseudomonadati; Pseudomonadota; Gammaproteobacteria; Enterobacterales; Morganellaceae. The record is from RNAcentral.